Molecule: ribosomal RNA, 303 nt
Filed under: uncultured bacterium
Lineage: Bacteria
Description: partial 16S ribosomal RNA
Rfam family: Bacterial small subunit ribosomal RNA
Source: RNAcentral
AGCAGUAGCCACGGUAAUACGUAGGUGGCAAGCGUUGUCCGGAGUCAUUGGGCGUAAAGGGCUCGCAGGCGGUUUCUUAAGCCUGAUGUGAAAGCCCCCGGCUCAACCGGGGAGGGUCAUUGGAAACUGGGAAACUUGAGUGCAGAAGAGGAGAGUGGAAUUCCAUGUGUAGCGGUGAAAUGCGUAGAUAUAUGGAGGAACACCGGUGGCGAAAGCGGCUCUCUGGUCUGUAACUGACGCUGAGGCUCGAAAGCGUGGGGAGCGAACAGGAUUAGAUACCCCGGUAGUCCCUGUCUCUUAUAA